This 226-nucleotide ribosomal RNA is filed under the name Escherichia coli O55:H7 str. 3256-97. RNAcentral describes it as "partial 16S ribosomal RNA". It matches the Rfam family "Bacterial small subunit ribosomal RNA", at positions 1 to 221 of the family's 1533-position model. The record is from RNAcentral. Lineage: Bacteria; Pseudomonadati; Pseudomonadota; Gammaproteobacteria; Enterobacterales; Enterobacteriaceae.
AAAUUGAAGAGUUUGAUCAUGGCUCAGAUUGAACGCUGGCGGCAGGCCUAACACAUGCAAGUCGAACGGUAACAGGAAGAAGCUUGCUUCUUUGCUGACGAGUGGCGGACGGGUGAGUAAUGUCUGGGAAACUGCCUGAUGGAGAGGGAUAACUACUGGAAACGGUAGCUAAUACCGCAUAACGUCGCAAGACCAAAGAGGGGGAACCGUUCGGGCCUCUUGCCAU